This 1114-nucleotide ribosomal RNA is filed under the name uncultured organism. Its description in RNAcentral is "bacterial SSU rRNA". It matches the Rfam family "Bacterial small subunit ribosomal RNA", at positions 93 to 1225 of the family's 1533-position model. The record is from RNAcentral.
GAGUGGCGAACGGGUGAGUAACACGUGGAUAAUCUUCCUUCAGGAUGGGGACAACCGCUGGAAACGGCGGCUAAUACCGAAUAAGAUGGUAGUCAUACAAGUGACAGCCAUUAAAGGAUGGGGACCUUCGGGCCUAUCGCCUGAAGAUGAGUCCGCGGCCCAUUAGCUAGUUGGUAGGGUAACGGCCUACCAAGGCAAAGACGGGUAGGGGGUGUGAGAGCACGGCCCCCCACAAUGGGACUGGAACACGGCCCAUACUCCUACGGGAGGCAGCAGCAGGGAAUAUUGCGCAAUGGGCGAAAGCCUGACGCAGCGACGCCGCGUGAGUGAAGACGGCUUUCGAGUUGUAAAACUCUUUUCUGGGGGAAGAGGAAGGACGGUACCCGAGGAAUAAGCGUCGGCUAACUACGUGCCAGCAGCCGCGGUAAGACGUAGGACGCGAGCGUUAUCCGGAUUUACUGGGCGUAAAGCGCCUGUAGGCGGCUUUGUAAGUUGGGCGUGAAAGCCCCGUGCUUAACGCGGGGAGGCCGUUCAAUACUGCGGAGCUAGAGUACGGCAGAGGGGAGUGGAAUUCCUGGAGUAGCGGUAAAAUGCGCAGAUAUCAGGAGGAACACCAGUGGCGAAGGCGGCUCCCUGGGCCGAGACUGACGCUCAGAGGCGAAAGCUAGGGGAGCGAACAGGAUUAGAGACCCUGGUAGUCCUAGCCCUAAACGAUGGAUGCUAGGUGUGGGGGCGAUGAGUUUCCGUGCCGGAGCAAACGCGAUAAGCAUCCCGCCUGGGGACUACGGCCGCAAGGUUAAAACUCAAACGAAUUGACGGGGGCCCGCACAAGCAGCGGAGCGUGUGGUUUAAUUCGAUGCUACACGAAGAACCUUACCUGGGUUUGACAUGUAGGUGGUAGCGAGGCGAAAGCUGAGCGACCCUUCGGGGAGCCUACACAGGUGCUGCAUGGCUGUCGUCAGCUCGUGCCGUGAGGUGUCGGGUUAAGUCCCGUAACGAGCGCAACCCUUGCUCCUAGUUAUACGUGUCUAGGGGGACUGCCGGCGGGAAGCCGGAGGAAGGUGGGGAUGACGUCAAGUCAGCAUGGCCCUUAUGUCCAGGGCUACACACACGC